AGAGUUUGAUCAUGGCUCAGAUUGAACGCUGGCGGCAGGCCUAACACAUGCAAGUCGAACGGUAACAGGAAGCAGCUUGCUGCUUUGCUGACGAGUGGCGGACGGGUGAGUAAUGUCUGGGAAACUGCCUGAUGGAGGGGGAUAACUACUGGAAACGGUGGCUAAUACCGCAUAAUGUCGCAAGACCAAAGAGGGGGACCUUCGGGCCUCUUGCCAUCAGAUGUGCCCAGAUGGGAUUAGCUUGUUGGUGAGGUAACGGCUCACCAAGGCGACGAUCCCUAGCUGGUCUGAGAGGAUGACCAGCCACACUGGAACUGAGACACGGUCCAGACUCCUACGGGAGGCAGCAGUGGGGAAUAUUGCACAAUGGGCGCAAGCCUGAUGCAGCCAUGCCGCGUGUAUGAAGAAGGCCUUCGGGUUGUAAAGUACUUUCAGCGGGGAGGAAGGUGUUGUGGUUAAUAACCACAGCAAUUGACGUUACCCGCAGAAGAAGCACCGGCUAACUCCGUGCCAGCAGCCGCGGUAAUACGGAGGGUGCAAGCGUUAAUCGGAAUUACUGGGCGUAAAGCGCACGCAGGCGGUCUGUCAAGUCGGAUGUGAAAUCCCCGGGCUCAACCUGGGAACUGCAUUCGAAACUGGCAGGCUUGAGUCUUGUAGAGGGGGGUAGAAUUCCAGGUGUAGCGGUGAAAUGCGUAGAGAUCUGGAGGAAUACCGGUGGCGAAGGCGGCCCCCUGGACAAAGACUGACGCUCAGGUGCGAAAGCGUGGGGAGCAAACAGGAUUAGAUACCCUGGUAGUCCACGCCGUAAACGAUGUCUACUUGGAGGUUGUGCCCUUGAGGCGUGGCUUCCGGAGCUAACGCGUUAAGUAGACCGCCUGGGGAGUACGGCCGCAAGGUUAAAACUCAAAUGAAUUGACGGGGGCCCGCACAAGCGGUGGAGCAUGUGGUUUAAUUCGAUGCAACGCGAAGAACCUUACCUGGUCUUGACAUCCACAGAACUUUCCAGAGAUGGAUUGGUGCCUUCGGGAACUGUGAGACAGGUGCUGCAUGGCUGUCGUCAGCUCGUGUUGUGAAAUGUUGGGUUAAGUCCCGCAACGAGCGCAACCCUUAUCCUUUGUUGCCAGCGGUCCGGCCGGGAACUCAAAGGAGACUGCCAGUGAUAAACUGGAGGAAGGUGGGGAUGACGUCAAGUCAUCAUGGCCCUUACGACCAGGGCUACACACGUGCUACAAUGGCGCAUACAAAGAGAAGCGACCUCGCGAGAGCAAGCGGACCUCAUAAAGUGCGUCGUAGUCCGGAUUGGGAGUCUGCAACUCGACUCCAUGAAGUCGGAAUCGCUAGUAAUCGUGGAUCAGAAUGCCACGGUGAAUACGUUCCCGGGCCUUGUACACACCGCCCGUCACACCAUGGGAGUGGGUUGCAAAAGAAGUAGGUAGCUUAACCUUCGGGAGGGCGCUUACCACUUUGUGAUUCAUGACUGGGGUGAAGUCGUAACAAGGUAACCGUAGGGGAACCUGCGGUUGGAUCACCU
RNAcentral lists this ribosomal RNA (1531 nucleotides) under Salmonella enterica subsp. enterica. RNAcentral describes it as "bacterial SSU rRNA". It matches the Rfam family "Bacterial small subunit ribosomal RNA". The record is from RNAcentral. Lineage: Bacteria; Pseudomonadati; Pseudomonadota; Gammaproteobacteria; Enterobacterales; Enterobacteriaceae.